Molecule: long non-coding RNA, 225 nt
Filed under: Gallus gallus (chicken)
Lineage: Eukaryota; Metazoa; Chordata; Aves; Galliformes; Phasianidae
Source: RNAcentral
CAGUAACCAAGUUUGGCUUGGAUGCAAUGAUGCAGUAAAUAUCAUAGCUUUUUUUCCAGAGUUGUUUUUCUUAAAGCACUUGUCUGAAGAAAAUCCAGGUUGCUGUAUGUGGGACCUAUUCUGCUUGCAGCCUGAGCAUCAGCAUGGGAGGACUGAGCAGUCAGACCCACAUCAGGAGUGAGGAGAUGCACUGUGCAUCAGUGCAGGCCGAAUGGCAGCAGAUAG